UACGUAGGGGGCAAGCGUUGUCCGGAUUUAUUGGGCGUAAAGAGCGUGUAGGCGGCUUUACAGGUCCGUUGUGAAAACUCGAGGCUCAACCUCGAGACGCCGGUGGAAACCGUAAGGCUAGAGUCCGGAAGAGGAGAGUGGAAUUCCUGGUGUAGCGGUGAAAUGCGCAGAUGUCAGGAGGAACACCCGUGGCGAAAGCGGCUCUCUGGGACGGUACUGACGCUGAGACGCGAAGGCGUGGGGAGCGAACAGG
This 253-nucleotide ribosomal RNA is filed under the name uncultured bacterium. Its description in RNAcentral is "partial 16S ribosomal RNA". It matches the Rfam family "Bacterial small subunit ribosomal RNA", at positions 524 to 776 of the family's 1533-position model. The record is from RNAcentral.